This 414-nucleotide ribosomal RNA is filed under the name uncultured bacterium. Its description in RNAcentral is "bacterial SSU rRNA". It matches the Rfam family "Bacterial small subunit ribosomal RNA", at positions 355 to 794 of the family's 1533-position model. The record is from RNAcentral.
UCGAGAAUCUUCGGCAAUGGGCGCAAGCCUGACCGAGCGACGCCGCGUGCGGGAUGAAGGCCUUCGGGUUGUAAACCGCUGUCGGGAGGGAUGCAGAGCUCCGGAGGAAGCACGGGCUAAGUUCGUGCCAGCAGCCGCGGUAAUACGAACUGUGCGAACGUUAUUCGGAAUCACUGGGCUUAAAGGGUGCGUAGGCGGCGCUGUAAGUCAGGUGUGAAAGCCCUCGGCUCAACCGAGGAAUUGCGCUUGAAACUGCAGUGCUUGAGUAAGGUAGGGGUGCAUGGAACUUCCGGUGGAGCGGUGAAAUGUGUAGAUAUCGGAAGGAACCCGGGCGGCGAAAGCGGUGCACUGGGCCUUGUCUGACGCUGAGGCACGAAAGCUAGGGUAGCGAACGGGAUUAGAUACCCUAGUAGU